ACCAGUCUCCAGGACUGCCUGAAAAUUCAGAGCUGCCGGGCUUUCCUCCCUGUCCAUAAAUGGGACCAACGAAACCGGCAGCUGGAGGAGCUGGAAAAAGCCCUUGUCCGGCUGCACGGCAUAGAGAAACUGGGGGUACUGCGUAGAAAGUUCUGGAUCGAGAAGGAGCAGCAGGCGGAGCAGUAUUUUCUGGACCGGGAGCAGGAGUGGGAGGAGGAAGAGGAGCGGCUCCUCCGGUUGGGGCCGAGGCUUGGGGACAAGAGUUGGAGGGACCCACAGUCCCAUGCCAGGCCUUCACUAUUCCCCAGGCCGAAAUUACCUCCCUUAUAGUU
This is a long non-coding RNA of Alligator sinensis (Chinese alligator), 332 nucleotides long. RefSeq lists it as uncharacterized. The record is from RefSeq and is a predicted model, not a curated record. Lineage: Eukaryota; Metazoa; Chordata; Crocodylia; Alligatoridae. The transcript is spliced from 3 exons.